RNAcentral lists this ribosomal RNA (1046 nucleotides) under Maconellicoccus hirsutus (hibiscus mealybug). RNAcentral describes it as "large subunit ribosomal RNA". The record is from RNAcentral. Lineage: Eukaryota; Metazoa; Arthropoda; Insecta; Hemiptera; Pseudococcidae.
AUAGAAAUAAAUAAAUUCAAAUUAAAUGAAAAUAAUAAUUUAUUUUUUUUUCUUUUUGUAUUAAGAUUUAAUAAAAAAAUAAUUUUAAAAAAAUUUUAUUUAAAAAUAUAAUGAUAAAACGAUAAUUUUAAAAAUUAAUAUAUAAAAAUUAUUUUUAAAAAUAAGUUAGAUUAGAUAAUAAAUUCAUUUUAUAUUAAUUAAUUUUAUAUUAAAUUAAUUUAAUUAAAAAUUUAAUAUUAUAUAUAAUUUAAUAUUAAAUUAAAUUUUUAUAAAGAUAAGUUUAUAAAAUUGUUAUAAUUUAUUUAAAAUUUAAAUAAUUAAUUUUUAUAAAUAAUAAUUUUAAUAUAAAAUUUAAUAAUAAUUUUUUAAUUUUUUUAAUAGUUUUAUAUUUAAUUAAAGUAAUAUAAUAAAUAAAAAAAAUAAUUUUUAUUUUUUAAUAAUGUUAAAAUUAGUAAUUAUAAGAAUUUAUUUAAUGAAUUCGACUUUAAUUUUUUAUUUGUUUAAUAAAAACAUUGUUUAAAGAAAAUAAUUUUAAAUAAAUUCUGCUCAAUGAAUAUAUAUAUUUAAAUAGCUGCAGUAUUUUAACUGUACAAAGGUAGCAUGAUAAUUUGUAUUUUAAUUGGAUAAUAGAAUGAAAGAAUAAAUAAAAAAAUUAUUUUAUUGAAUAAAUUUAAUGAAUUUAAUUUUUAAAUAAAAAAGUUUAAAUAAUUUUAAAAGACAAAAAGACCCUAAAAAUUUUAUAUUUAAAUAUUUUAUUGGGGUAAUGUUAAUAGAUUAAUUUAUUAAAAAUUUUUAUAUUAAAUUUUUUAAAAAUUACUUUAGGGAUAACAGGAUAAUUAAUUUAGAUAGAUUAAAUUAAAAAAUUAGUUUAUUACCUCGAUGUUGAAUUAAAUAAAUAAUUUAAAAUAGAAAUUAAAUUUAUAAGUUUGUUCAACUUUUAAAUAUUUACAUGAUUUGAGUUGAAACCGAUGUAAAUUAGGUUGGUUUUUAUCUUUAAGAAAAUAAUUUAAUUUAGUACGAAAGGAUUAAUUAAAUUUAAUAAUUUA